RNAcentral lists this ribosomal RNA (719 nucleotides) under Salmonella enterica subsp. enterica serovar Kentucky. Its description in RNAcentral is "partial 23S ribosomal RNA". It matches the Rfam family "Bacterial large subunit ribosomal RNA", at positions 1039 to 1757 of the family's 2925-position model. Lineage: Bacteria; Pseudomonadati; Pseudomonadota; Gammaproteobacteria; Enterobacterales; Enterobacteriaceae. The record is from RNAcentral.
CUAAGGUCCCAAAGUCAUGGUUAAGUGGGAAACGAUGUGGGAAGGCCCAGACAGCCAGGAUGUUGGCUUAGAAGCAGCCAUCAUUUAAAGAAAGCGUAAUAGCUCACUGGUCGAGUCGGCCUGCGCGGAAGAUGUAACGGGGCUAAACCAUGCACCGAAGCUGCGGCAGCGACGCUGAUGCGUUGUUGGGUAGGGGAGCGUUCUGUAAGCCUGUGAAGGUGGCCUGUGAGGGUUGCUGGAGGUAUCAGAAGUGCGAAUGCUGACAUAAGUAACGAUAAAGCGGGUGAAAAGCCCGCUCGCCGGAAGACCAAGGGUUCCUGUCCAACGUUAAUCGGGGCAGGGUGAGUCGACCCCUAAGGCGAGGCCGAAAGGCGUAGUCGAUGGGAAACGGGUUAAUAUUCCCGUACUUGGUGUUACUGCGAAGGGGGGACGGAGAAGGCUAUGUUGGCCGGGCGACGGUUGUCCCGGUUUAAGCGUGUAGGUGUGUGUUCCAGGUAAAUCCGGUUCACUUUAACACUGAGGCGUGAUGACGAGGCACUACGGUGCUGAAGCAACAAAUGCCCUGCUUCCAGGAAAAGCCUCUAAGCAUCAGGUAACAUCAAAUCGUACCCCAAACCGACACAGGUGGUCAGGUAGAGAAUACCAAGGCGCUUGAGAGAACUCGGGUGAAGGAACUAGGCAAAAUGGUGCCGUAACUUCGGGAGAAGGCACGCUGACAC